CCUACGGGAGGCAGCAGUGGGGAAUUUUGGACAAUGGGCGCAAGCCUGAUCCAGCAAUGCCGCGUGAGUGAAGAAGGCCUUCGGGUUGUAAAGCUCUUUUGUCAGGGAAGAAACGGUGAGGGCUAAUAUCCUUUGCUAAUGACGGUACCUGAAGAAUAAGCACCGGCUAACUACGUGCCAGCAGCCGCGGUAAUACGUAGGGUGCAAGCGUUAAUCGGAAUUACUGGGCGUAAAGCGUGCGCAGGCGGUUUUGUAAGUCUGUCGUGAAAUCCCCGGGCUCAACCUGGGAAUUGCG
RNAcentral lists this ribosomal RNA (295 nucleotides) under uncultured bacterium. RNAcentral describes it as "partial 16S ribosomal RNA". It matches the Rfam family "Bacterial small subunit ribosomal RNA", at positions 338 to 625 of the family's 1533-position model. The record is from RNAcentral.